Molecule: unclassified non-coding RNA, 297 nt
Organism: Cavia aperea (Brazilian guinea pig)
Lineage: Eukaryota; Metazoa; Chordata; Mammalia; Rodentia; Caviidae
Gene: 7SK
Rfam family: 7SK RNA
About the family: 7SK was discovered as an abundant small nuclear RNA in the mid-70s but a possible function has only recently been suggested. Two independent studies have found that 7SK RNA binds the CDK9/cyclin T complex (known as elongation factor P-TEFb).
Source: Ensembl
GGAUGUGAGGGCGAUCUGGCUGUGACAUCUGUCACCCCAUUGAUUGCCAGGGUUGAUUUGGUUGAUCUGGCUGGCUAGGUGGGUGUCCCCUUCCUCCCUCAAUGGUCCAUGGGCGUCCCUUCCGAAGCUGCGUGUCUGUCGAAGAGGAUGACCACCCUGAUAGAGGAGGACCGUUCCUCAGUCAAGGGUGUGUAAGUAGCUGCACUUUCCUGCUAGAACUUCCAAACAAGUUCUCAAAGUAGCACUAGAAGUGAAACAAGGCAUUACAAAUAGCAUUUGGUGAUAUUCUCCCUUAAA